Molecule: ribosomal RNA, 253 nt
Filed under: uncultured bacterium
Lineage: Bacteria
Description: partial 16S ribosomal RNA
Rfam family: Bacterial small subunit ribosomal RNA
Source: RNAcentral
UACGAAGGGUGCGAGCGUUGUUCGGAUUUAUUGGGCGUAAAGCGCGCGCAGGCGGAAUGGUAAGUCAGGUGUGAAAUCUCGGGGCUCAACCCCGAAACUGCGCCUGAAACUAUCACUCUAGAAUCUUGGAGAGGGCAGGGGAAUUUCUUAUGUAGGAGUAAAAUCCGUAGAGAUAAGAAGGAACACCAGAGGCGAAGGCGCCUGCCUGGACGAGUAUUGACGCUGAGGCGCGAAAGCGUGGGGAGCAAACAGG